Molecule: long non-coding RNA, 1800 nt
Filed under: Felis catus (domestic cat)
Lineage: Eukaryota; Metazoa; Chordata; Mammalia; Carnivora; Felidae
Description: lncRNA (ENSFCAG00000047896.1)
Source: RNAcentral
CCUAGACUUUGGGCGAUCGAAGCCCUUGGGGAGACUGCACCUGGGCAGACUGAGAUGGGCUAGGUGGCGUUCACUGUCAGCAACUUUGAGUGGGGAGAGAAGGGAAGGGUCUUGUAGAAGGGACCUAACUGAGGCCAUCUUGUGUCCUGUGGGGUGGAUGUCUCUGUACAACUUGUGGUCCCUGGGCCCCGUUCAGAGAGGGAAAUACCUUUUACCCAAACACCUCCAAGUACUCGGGAGAAGCCAGUCUUGCGUUUCACAAAACCAAAUGAGGUUUGGGUUUUCUUUUCAUGGCACCAGUUUUAUUUUGACGGGCUGGACGGUAAAUCCGAAAAGUCAGUUUGACUUUUUUGAAGGUAAAAGUCCCGUAUUAAUGAUUGUCAAAUUUUCUGAUUGACAUUGAUUACAUGCUGAUUUAUCUAGUUUGUAGUCCUUUUCUCCCUCCCUUCCUUCCUUCUUUCUUUUCUUCCUUCUUUCUCUUCUUUCUUUCCUUUCUUUCUUUCUCUUCUUUCUUUCCUUCUUUUCUUUCUUUCUUUUUUCUUUUCUUUCUUUCUUUCUUCUUCUUUCUUCUUUCUUUUUUUUCUUUGUUUCUUUUCUUUUUUCUUUCUUUCCUUCUUUAUUUCUUUCUUUCUUUUUUCUUUGUUUCUUUUCUUUUUUUCUUUCUUUCUUUCUUUCUUUUUUCUUUGUUUGUUUGUUUCUUUCUUUCUUUCUUUCUUUAUUUUCUUCCUUCUUUUCUUUCUUCUUUCUUUCUCUUCUUUCUUUCUUUCUUUCUUUCUUUUUCUUUGUUUGUUUGUUUCUUUUCUUUCUUUCUUUCCUUCUUUCUUUCUUCUUUCUUUUUUCUUUCUUUCUUUCUUUUCCUUUCUUUCUUUCCUUCUUUAUUUCUUUCUUUCUUCUUUCUUUCCUUCUUUUCUUUCUUUCCUUCUUUAUUUCUUUCUUUCUUUCGUUCUUUCUUUCUUUCUUUCUUUUUCUUUCUUUCUUCUUUCUUUUUCUUUCUUUCUUUCCUUCUUUAUUUCUUUCUUCUUUCUUUCUUCCUUCUUUUCUUUCUUCUUCUUUCUUUUUUUUUUUUCUUUUUUCUUUGUUUGUUUCUUUUCUUUCUUUCUUUCCUUCUUUCUUUCUUUCUUUCUUUCUUUCUUUCUUUUUUCUUUUUUCUUUUUUCUUUCUUUCUUUCUUUUUCUUUGUUUGUUUCUUUUCUUUUUCUUUCUUUCCUUCUUUAUUUCUUUCUUUCUUUCUUUCUUUCUUCUUUCUUUCUUUCUUUCUUCUUUCUUCUUCCUUCCUUCCUUCUUUCUUUCUUUCUUUCUUUCUUUCUUUCUUUCUUCUUCCUUCUUUCUUUCUUUCUUUCUUUCUCUUCUUUCUUCUUUUUUUCUUUGUUUGUUUGUUUCUUUUCUUUCUUUCUUUUUCUUUUCUUUCUUUCCUUCUUUUCUUUUCUUUCCUUCUUUAUUUCUUUCUUUCCUUCUUUUCUUUUCUUUCUUCUUCUUUCUUUCUUUCGUUCUUUCUUUCUUCUUUUUUUCUUUGUUUGUUUGUUUCUUUUCUUUCUUCUUUUUUUCUUUGUUUGUUUGUUUCUUUUCUUUCUCUUCUUUCUUUCUCUUCUUUCUUUCUUUUUUCUUUUUCAGAUGGGAGUUGACCUGGCGGAUGAAGCUGGCCAAGUCUGCUAGGAAGCUCAGAGACUCCGGGAGGCGACCGGAGCUGGAAGAAGUGCCAGGCCAUGCUGAGGACGCCCUUGGCCAAAUGGCACUCUGCCUUGGUCUUCCCUUCUUAUCAUCUUCCCUCCAUGGCGGGAUGGAGGAGGUGGUGUCAGGUGCU